AAGUCGUAACAAGGUUUCCGUAGGUGAACCUGCGGAAGGAUCAUUACCGAGAGAGGGGCCUUGUGCCCCCGGGGCUGACCGCCCUGAUUCUUCACCCAAUGUGUACAUACCACUUGUUGCUUUGACAGGCCCCGGCUUUUUCGCCCGGCGUUGACCUGGGCCUAGUGCCCCCCACGCUCGCCUGCCAGAGGACCAUCAAAUCCUGUUUGAUCAGUGUAGUCUGAGUAAAAUCAUAAUAAGUACAAAACUUUCAACAACGGAUCUCUUGGUUCUG
Molecule: unclassified non-coding RNA, 274 nt
Filed under: Pannoparmelia sp.
Lineage: Eukaryota; Fungi; Ascomycota; Lecanoromycetes; Lecanorales; Parmeliaceae
Description: partial contains small subunit ribosomal RNA, internal transcribed spacer 1, and 5.8S ribosomal RNA
Rfam family: Eukaryotic small subunit ribosomal RNA (bases 1-46)
Source: RNAcentral